GACGAACGCUGGCGGCGUGCUUAACACAUGCAAGUCGAACGGAAAGGCCCUGCUUUUGUGGGGUGCUCGAGUGGCGAACGGGUGAGUAACACGUGAGUAACCUGCCCUUGACUUUGGGAUAACUUCAGGAAACUGGGGCUAAUACCGGAUAGGAGCUCCUGCUGCAUGGUGGGGGUUGGAAAGUUUCGGCGGUUGGGGAUGGACUCGCGGCUUAUCAGCUUGGUGGUGGGGUAGUGGCUUACCAAGGCUUUGACGGGUAGCCGGCCUGAGAGGGUGACCGGCCACAGUGGGACAGAGAGACGGCACGGGAUCCCGCGGGGGGCAGCAGGGGGGAAGGCGGCACCAGGGGGGGGAGGCUGAUGCAGCCACCCCGGGGGGGGGAGGAAGGGCUUCGGGUUGGAAAACGAUUUCCAUCAGGACGAAGCUGGGUGUGACGGUAGUGGGUAAAGAAGCACCGGCUAACUACGUG
Molecule: ribosomal RNA, 469 nt
Filed under: uncultured bacterium
Lineage: Bacteria
Description: partial 16S ribosomal RNA
Rfam family: Bacterial small subunit ribosomal RNA
Source: RNAcentral